Molecule: small nuclear RNA, 159 nt
Filed under: Neotoma lepida (desert woodrat)
Lineage: Eukaryota; Metazoa; Chordata; Mammalia; Rodentia; Cricetidae
Description: U1 spliceosomal RNA
Rfam family: U1 spliceosomal RNA
About the family: U1 is a small nuclear RNA (snRNA) component of the spliceosome (involved in pre-mRNA splicing).
Source: Rfam by way of RNAcentral
AUGCUUACCUGGCAGGGGAGAUACCAUGAUCACGAAGGUGGUUUUCCCAGGGUGAGGCUUAUCCAUUGCACUCCAGAUGUGCUGUGAUUUCCCCAAAUGUGGGAAAUUCUUGACUGCAUAAUUUGUGGUAGUGGGGGACUGCGUUCACACUCUCCUCUA